GAUGAACGCUGGCGGCGUGCCUAAUACAUGCAAGUCGAGCGAACAGACGAGGAGCUUGCUCCUCUGACGUUAGCGGCGGACGGGUGAGUAACACGUGGAUAACCUACCUAUAAGACUGGGAUAACUUCGGGAAACCGGAGCUAAUACCGGAUAAUAUAUUGAACCGCAUGGUUCAAUAGUGAAAGACGGUUUUGCUGUCACUUAUAGAUGGAUCCGCGCCGCAUUAGCUAGUUGGUAAGGUAACGGCUUACCAAGGCAACGAUGCGUAGCCGACCUGAGAGGGUGAUCGGCCACACUGGAACUGAGACACGGUCCAGACUCCUACGGGAGGCAGCAGUAGGGAAUCUUCCGCAAUGGGCGAAGGCCUGACGGAGCAACGCCGCGUGAGUGAUGAAGGUCUUCGGAUCGUAAAACUCUGUUAUUAGGGAAGAACAAAUGUGUAAGUAACUAUGCACGUCUUGACGGUACCUAAUCAGAAAGCCACGGCUAACUGCGUG
This 497-nucleotide ribosomal RNA is filed under the name uncultured bacterium. RNAcentral's name for it is "partial 16S ribosomal RNA". It matches the Rfam family "Bacterial small subunit ribosomal RNA", at positions 28 to 507 of the family's 1533-position model. The record is from RNAcentral.